CGCUGGCGGCGUGCCUAAUACAUGCAAGUCGAGCGAAGUUACUACUUGAAGCCUUCGGGUGGACGGUAAUAAACUUAGCGGCGGAUGGGUGAGUAACACGUAGGCAACCUACCUGUAAGACUGGGAUAACUUGUGGAAACAUAAGCUAAUACCGGAUGUGACGUAGAAGGCGCCUGUCUUUUACGUGAAAGGCGGAGCAAUCUGUCACUUACAGAUGGGCCUGCGGCGCAUUAGCUAGUUGGUGAGGUAGGAGCUCACCAAGGCGACGAUGCGUAGCCGACCUGAGAGGGUGAUCGGCCACACUGGGACUGAGACACGGCCCAGACUCCUACGGGAGGCAGCAGUAGGGAAUCUUCCGCAAUGGACGCAAGUCUGACGGAGCAACGCCGCGUGAAGUGAUGAAGGUUUUCGGAUCGUAAAGCUCUGUUGCCAGGGAAGAACACUUAGGAGAGUAACUGCUCUUAAGUUGACGGUACCUGAGAAGAAAGCCCCGGCUAACUACGUGCCAGCCGCUGC
RNAcentral lists this ribosomal RNA (516 nucleotides) under uncultured bacterium. RNAcentral's name for it is "bacterial SSU rRNA". It matches the Rfam family "Bacterial small subunit ribosomal RNA", at positions 34 to 518 of the family's 1533-position model. The record is from RNAcentral.